GACGAACGCUGGCGGCGUGCUUAACACAUGCAAGUCGAACGCUGAAGCUUGGUGCUUGCACUGGGUGGAUGAGUGGCGAACGGGUUAGUAAUACGUGAGUAACCUGCCCUUGACUCUGGGAUAAGCCUGGGAAACUGGGUCUAAUACUGGAUACGACAUGUCACCGCAUGGUGUUGUGUGGAAAGGGUUUUACUGGUUUUGGAUGGGCUCACGGCCUAUCAGCUUGUUGGUGGGGUAAUGGCUCACCAAGGCGACGACGGGUAGCCGGCCUGAGAGGGUGACCGGCCACACUGGGACUGAGACACGGCCCAGACUCCUACGGGAGGCAGCAGUGGGGAAUAUUGCACAAUGGGCGGAAGCCUGAUGCAGCGACGCCGCGUGAGGGAUGACGGCCUUCGGGUUGUAAACCUCUUUCAGCACGGAAGAAGCGAAAGUGACGGUACGUGCAGAAGAAGCGCCGGCUAACUACGUG
This 472-nucleotide ribosomal RNA is filed under the name uncultured bacterium. RNAcentral's name for it is "partial 16S ribosomal RNA". It matches the Rfam family "Bacterial small subunit ribosomal RNA", at positions 28 to 507 of the family's 1533-position model. The record is from RNAcentral.